Molecule: non-coding RNA, 23 nt
Filed under: Cricetulus griseus (Chinese hamster)
Lineage: Eukaryota; Metazoa; Chordata; Mammalia; Rodentia; Cricetidae
Source: RNAcentral
ACACUAGAGAGCCUGAGGCAGGU